UACGGAGGAUGCGAGCGUUAUCCGGAUUCAUUGGGUUUAAAGGGUGCGUAGGCGGCUUCAUAAGUCAGUGGUGAAAUCCUGCGGCUCAACCGUAGAACUGCCAUUGAUACUGUGAAGCUUGAAUACAAUUGAGGUAGGCGGAAUGAGUAGUGUAGCGGUGAAAUGCUUAGAUAUUACUCAGAACACCAAUUGCGAAGGCAGCUUACCAAACUGUAAUUGACGCUGAGGCACGAAAGCGUGGGGAUCGAACAGG
RNAcentral lists this ribosomal RNA (253 nucleotides) under uncultured bacterium. RNAcentral describes it as "partial 16S ribosomal RNA". It matches the Rfam family "Bacterial small subunit ribosomal RNA", at positions 524 to 776 of the family's 1533-position model. The record is from RNAcentral.